RNAcentral lists this ribosomal RNA (1441 nucleotides) under metagenome. RNAcentral's name for it is "bacterial SSU rRNA". It matches the Rfam family "Bacterial small subunit ribosomal RNA". The record is from RNAcentral.
AGAGUUUGAUCCUGGCUCAGAACGAACGCUGGCGGCAGGCCUAACACAUGCAAGUCGAACGAACCUUUUAGGUGAGUGGCGCACGGGUGCGUAACGCGUGGGAAUGUACACCUUGGUAAGGAAUAACUGCUGGAAACGGUAGCUAAUACCUUAUAAUGACUCCGGUCCAAAGAUUUAUCGCCAAGGGAUCAGCCCGCGUCAGAUUAGCUUGUUGGUGAGGUAAAGGCUCACCAAGGCGACGAUCUGUAGGGGGUCUGAGAGGAUGAUCCCCCACACUGGUACUGAGACACGGACCAGACUCCUACGGGAGGCAGCAGUGAGGAAUAUUGGACAAUGGGGGAAACCCUGAUCCAGCCAUGCCGCGUGUAUGAAGAAGGCCUUAGGGUUGUAAAGUACUUUCAAUGGUGAAGAUAAUGACGGUAACCAUAGAAGAAGCUCCGGCUAAAUUCGUGCCAGCAGCCGCGGUAAUACGAAUGGAGCAAGCGUUGUUCGGAAUCACUGGGCUUAAAGCGUAUGUAGGCGGACUGUAAAGUCAGGAGUGAAAUCCCGAGGCUCAACCUCGGAACUGCUCUUGAAACUCACAGUCUAGAAUCCUGGAGAGGUUGAGAGAAUUCCUAGUGUAGAGGUGAAAUUCGCAGAUAUUAGGAGGAAUACCAGUGGCGUAGGCGCCCAACUGGACAGGUAUUGACGCUCAGAUACGAAAGCGUGGGGAGCAAACAGGAUUAGAUACCCUGGUAGUCCACGCCGUAAACGAUGUGUGCUAGUUGUCGGGUGUUCAGCAUUCGGUGACGGAGCGAAAGUUUUAAGCACACCGCCUGGGGAGUACGGCCGCAAGGUUAAAACUCAAAGGAAUUGACGGGGACCCGCACAAGCGGUGGAGCAUGUUGUUUAAUUCGAAGCAACGCGAAGAACCUUACCUACACUUAACUAUCCUCCUGGGAAUUACAGAGAUGUUUUUUCUUCGGUUCGGCCGGGGAGUGAAUAGGUGCUGCAUGGCUGUCGUCAGCUCGUGUCGUGAGAUGUUGGGUUAAGUCCCGCAACGAGCGCAACCCUUAUCGUCUGUUGCCAUCAUUUAGUUGGGCACUCUGGCGAGACUGCCGGUGACAAGCCGGAGGAAGGUGGGGACGACGUCAAGUCAUCAUGCCCCUUACGUGUAGGGCUACAAACGUGCUACAAUGGCUACUACAAUGGGCAGCUACGUCGCGAGGCGAUGCUAAUCUCAAAAAGUAGUCUCAGUUCGGAUUGUUCUCUGCAACUCGAGAGCAUGAAGUUGGAAUCGCUAGUAAUCGUGGAUCAGCAUGCCACGGUGAAUACGUUCCCGGGUCUUGUACACACCGCCCGUCAAGUCAUGGGAGUUGGUUCUACCCGAAGGUCGUGUGCUAACUACGGAGGCAGCGAACCACGGUAGGAUUAGCGACUGGGACUAAGUCGCAACAAGGUA